RNAcentral lists this ribosomal RNA (253 nucleotides) under uncultured bacterium. RNAcentral's name for it is "partial 16S ribosomal RNA". It matches the Rfam family "Bacterial small subunit ribosomal RNA", at positions 524 to 776 of the family's 1533-position model. The record is from RNAcentral.
UACGUAGGGCGCAAGCGUUAUCCGGAAUUAUUGGGCGUAAAGAGCUCGUAGGCGGUUUGUCGCGUCUGCCGUGAAAGUCCGGGGCUCAACUCCGGAUCUGCGGUGGGUACGGGCAGACUAGAGUGCAGUAGGGGAGACUGGAAUUCCUGGUGUAGCGGUGAAAUGCGCAGAUAUCAGGAGGAACACCAGUGGCGAAAGCGGGUCUCUGGGCCGUAACUGACGCUGAGGAGCGAAAGCGUGGGGAGCGAACAGG